CAAAUAACCUAGGCCCUGCAACAUUGCACCCAGGUAAGAGAGCCAAAUCACCUAAGUGCUGGACCCAGGAAUGGAUUACUGUCUAUCCUACUUCCCCAAAAGAGAAUUAACAGCAUAGAAAUUAUGCCUAAAAGCCAGGUAUUUAUAUACCAGGUUUCUCUUACUGAUAACUCUGGAUUGAGUUGUUUCCAUUAAAUCAACAAUAUUAAAUGUCUUGGGGUGGAGCCAAGAUGGCCAAAUAAGAACAGCUCCAGUCUACAACUCCCAGCAUGAGCGACGCAGAAGACGGGUGAUUUCUGCAUUUCCAACUGAGGUACUGGGUUCAUCUUACUGGGAAGUGUUGGACAGUGGGUGCAGGACAGUGGAUGCAGUGCACCGAGCAUGAGCCAAAGCAGGGUGAGGCAUCGCUACACCCAGGAAGCGCAAGGGGUCAGGGAAUUCCCUUUCCUAGCCAAGCAAAGCUGUGACAGACGGUACCUAGAAAAUCGGGUCACUCCCAGCUCAAUACUGC
This 511-nucleotide long non-coding RNA is filed under the name Homo sapiens (human). RNAcentral describes it as "HSALNT0136328". Lineage: Eukaryota; Metazoa; Chordata; Mammalia; Primates; Hominidae. The record is from RNAcentral.